This 491-nucleotide ribosomal RNA is filed under the name Salmonella enterica. RNAcentral's name for it is "bacterial SSU rRNA". It matches the Rfam family "Bacterial small subunit ribosomal RNA", at positions 639 to 1129 of the family's 1533-position model. Lineage: Bacteria; Pseudomonadati; Pseudomonadota; Gammaproteobacteria; Enterobacterales; Enterobacteriaceae. The record is from RNAcentral.
GGCUUGAGUCUUGUAGAGGGGGGUAGAAUUCCAGGUGUAGCGGUGAAAUGCGUAGAGAUCUGGAGGAAUACCGGUGGCGAAGGCGGCCCCCUGGACAAAGACUGACGCUCAGGUGCGAAAGCGUGGGGAGCAAACAGGAUUAGAUACCCUGGUAGUCCACGCCGUAAACGAUGUCUACUUGGAGGUUGUGCCCUUGAGGCGUGGCUUCCGGAGCUAACGCGUUAAGUAGACCGCCUGGGGAGUACGGCCGCAAGGUUAAAACUCAAAUGAAUUGACGGGGGCCCGCACAAGCGGUGGAGCAUGUGGUUUAAUUCGAUGCAACGCGAAGAACCUUACCUGGUCUUGACAUCCACAGAACUUUCCAGAGAUGGAUUGGUGCCUUCGGGAACUGUGAGACAGGUGCUGCAUGGCUGUCGUCAGCUCGUGUUGUGAAAUGUUGGGUUAAGUCCCGCAACGAGCGCAACCCUUAUCCUUUGUUGCCAGCGAUUAGG